Molecule: long non-coding RNA, 331 nt
Organism: Patiria miniata (bat star)
Lineage: Eukaryota; Metazoa; Echinodermata; Asteroidea; Valvatida; Asterinidae
Exons: 3
Source: RefSeq, a predicted model, not a curated record
UCAACAACAUAAACACGUGACUGUACGGCGCUGUCAGUGGCCGAAACUGUACCUGUUGUCACCUUUGCCACUUUCUUAUUACUGUGUGUUUUUGGUCCAACGUAAUAACACCAAAAUGGAUGAGAAGCAGGGACCAACUUCUGAUGAUGUCCCAACUGGGGAGGUAACGUCAACCACAGUUACAGAGGGUGAUGUUGUCAAGAUGCCAACAGAUGUGGCCAUCACUAUGGAUGCUAUUCCCAAUGAAGAUGAGGAGGACAAAUCCAAAGGUCUUGACCCACAAGAUAACCAUUCCACCAGCACCUCUGACGUACCGGUGACUGGCGCUGCC